This 492-nucleotide ribosomal RNA is filed under the name uncultured bacterium. Its description in RNAcentral is "partial 16S ribosomal RNA". It matches the Rfam family "Bacterial small subunit ribosomal RNA", at positions 30 to 507 of the family's 1533-position model. The record is from RNAcentral.
AUUGAACGCUGGCGGCAUGCUUUACACAUGCAAGUCGAACGGUAACAGGCCUUCGGGUGCUGACGAGUGGCGAACGGGUGAGUAAUGCAUCGGAACGUACCCAGAGGUGGGGGAUAACGCAGCGAAAGCUGUGCUAAUACCGCAUGUGAUCUGAGGAUGAAAGCGGGGGACCGAGCAGCAAUGUUUGGCCUCGCGCCUUUGGAGCGGCCGAUGUCGGAUUAGCUAGUUGGUGGGGUAAAGGCCUACCAAGGCGACGAUCCGUAGCUGGUCUGAGAGGACGACCAGCCACACUGGGACUGAGACACGGCCCAGACUCCUACGGGAGGCAGCAGUGGGGAAUUUUGGACAAUGGGCGCAAGCCUGAUCCAGCAAUGCCGCGUGCGGGAAGAAGGCCUUCGGGUUGUAAACCGCUUUUGGCAGGAACGAAACGGUGUUCGCUAAUACCGGGCGCUAAUGACGGUACCUGCAGAAUAAGCACCGGCUAACUACGUG